AUACCGAGGGUGCAAGCGUUAAUCGGAUUUACUGGGCGUAAAGCGCGCGUAGGCGGCUAAUUAAGUCAAAUGUGAAAUCCCCGAGCUUAACUUGGGAAUUGCAUUCGAUACUGGUUAGCUAGAGUGUGGGAGAGGAUGGUAGAAUUCCAGGUGUAGCGGUGAAAUGCGUAGAGAUCUGGAGGAAUACCGAUGGCGAAGGCAGCCAUCUGGCCUAACACUGACGCUGAGGUGCGAAAGCAUGGGGAGCAAACAGGAUUAGAUACCCGAGUAGUCC
RNAcentral lists this ribosomal RNA (274 nucleotides) under uncultured bacterium. Its description in RNAcentral is "partial 16S ribosomal RNA". It matches the Rfam family "Bacterial small subunit ribosomal RNA", at positions 523 to 796 of the family's 1533-position model. The record is from RNAcentral.